GCCAGGCACAGUGGCAUGUGCCUGUAGUCCUAGCUACUAGGGAGGCUGAGGCUGGAGGAUUGCUUGAGUCCAGGAGGUCUGGGCUGUAGUAAGCUAUGCCGAUCAGGUGUCCACACUAAGUUUGGCAUCAAUAUGGUGACGUUCUGGAAGCAGGGACCACCAGGUUGCCUAAGGAGGAGUAAACCGGCCCAGGUUGGAAAAGGAUCAGGUAAAAACUCCCAUGCUGAUCAGUAGUGGGAUCGCGCCUGUAAAUAGGCACUGCACUCCAGCCUGGGCAACAUAACGAGAUCCCACCUCU
Molecule: signal recognition particle RNA, 298 nt
Filed under: Saimiri boliviensis boliviensis (Bolivian squirrel monkey)
Lineage: Eukaryota; Metazoa; Chordata; Mammalia; Primates; Cebidae
Description: Metazoan signal recognition particle RNA (ENSSBOG00000012551.1)
Rfam family: Metazoan signal recognition particle RNA
About the family: The signal recognition particle (SRP) is a universally conserved ribonucleoprotein. It is involved in the co-translational targeting of proteins to membranes.
Source: RNAcentral